UUCGGGUCGGCCUCAGGGCAACACCACCCGGCCCCUCUUCAGCUUCGUAGCAGAUGGAAUGGCAGCGGCGGCGGUGGCGGCAUUGUCACGAGACAUAGCAGCCGCCGGGCUUCCUUUGCCCGUCUGGAGCAGCUCUGUCGAACUUCAUGGGCGAGAACGGUGGCACGGCAGACUUAGGCGGCCGGCCGCGCUUCCUCUUCUCACUCGGCGCCGGUGGCACCAUCUUGGCCGCCUUCGGGGGCCUGCCUGGUUUUCUCUUCGGC
This 263-nucleotide long non-coding RNA is filed under the name Elaeis guineensis (African oil palm). RNAcentral describes it as "long non-coding RNA (EGUI_LNC036103)". The record is from RNAcentral. Lineage: Eukaryota; Viridiplantae; Streptophyta; Magnoliopsida; Arecales; Arecaceae.